Hippopotamus amphibius kiboko is the source of this 760-nucleotide RNA transcript. It is a transcript of the gene named ribosomal protein L22 like 1, with no coding region annotated. The record is from RefSeq and is a predicted model, not a curated record. Lineage: Eukaryota; Metazoa; Chordata; Mammalia; Artiodactyla; Hippopotamidae. The transcript is spliced from 4 exons.
ACCUCCGGAUGUGGAUGAUUUUUGUAGUUGGCGAAUUGGGAGUGUCUCAUGCUAGGUAGAGGGAGGAUAAAAAUGGAGACUUGAGUCAGGAGCACAGCCAGGAUUUUAAGGUUAUAAGCUUUUUCUGACUCUUGGCAACUGCCAUCCGGUCGGGUGGGGUUCCAGCUGGGCCCAGAAUUGGGUUAGGAUCGGCGGCCGUCGGAGCGCAGGGAAGGAGGAGGCGCGACGGUGAACGGGGCUAGUGGGACAGCAUUUGGGCCAUUUUUUUCCUCCUUCGAGCCUGGUAACGCCGAUGAUACCCUGUUUGUUUGCACUAGGGAGCCUGUGUGGGUAAUCGUUCAGCCCCUUGCCAGAGCGGAGGGAGAGUCGCGGUUGCAGAAGUUUCAGAGAACUUUAAAACUAAGUUAGGGAAGAAGUUUCUUCACUAUCUCAUGACGAAUUUUUUUUUAAAGAAGAAAGACAAGAAGCCUAAGAAGUCAACCUGGAAGUUUAAUUUGGACCUUACUCGUCCAGUAGAAGAUGGAAUUUUUGAUUCUGGAAAUUUUGGUACCUUCCCUAGUGAAUUUCUAGGGUUUUCUUCCCUAGUGUGGCACUCUUUCUGUUUUAAAAUAGGAACAGUUUCUACGGGAGAAGGUUAAAGUGAAUGGAAAAACUGGAAAUCUUGGGAAUGUCGUUCACAUUGAACGCUUCAAGAAUAAAAUCACAGUUGUUUCUGAGAAACAGUUCUCUAAAAGGUAUUUGAAAUACCUUACCAAGAAAU